GCUUGAUUUUUUAUUUUUUUUUAUUUUAUUUUUUGCCUUUUUGCCAUUUCUUGGGCUGCUCCCACAGUAUAUGGAGGUUCCCAGGCUAGGGGUCGAAUCGGAACUGUAGCCACUGGCCUGCACCACAGCCACAGCAAUGUGGGAUCCGAGCCCGCGUCUGCGACCUACACCACAGCCCACGGCAACGCCGGAUCCUUAACCCACUGAGCGAGGCCAGGAUCAAACCCGCAACCUCAUGGUUCCUAGUUGGAUUCGUUAACCACUGCGCCACAACGGGAACGCCUUGCUUAAUUUCUUUAACCAGGAGAGAUGCUCGUGUGUAAAGGCUUUGCUUUUCAGCUCUCUCUACACCCUGCUUCCAGCGCAGUGAGGCAGAAGAGUGUCAGCUCUGCGAGCUGACAGACACGGGUCCCAAACCAUGGUUCGGUCUCUCCUGGCUGCACAACCUCAGGCAGAUUCCUGAAUCUCUCGGAGCCCGGGUCCUCCUUUGAAAAUUACAUAAGACACCGUGGUCGUCGCAGAGUGUCUGACACAAGGUCCGAACCAUAUGUGCAGUUCCUUCUUCCGUCUUCAAUUUGUCAACAGUUUUUGCUUCGAGACCCCUUUCCCAAGCCCUAGAACCGACACAGAAAGUAGGCCCCCUCCUCCCCGACCACGGUGUGAAGCGGAGGAAAUACCCAUUUGGGGAAGUGAGUGUCCAAGUGUCUCUAAGGCUGAUUCCCAGAUGCUCCCGCCCCACAUCCACCCACAGGGAAAAGGAAGAGAAACCUCUUCCCACAGCAGCGCUUUCUUCAUUUGCCGCAGAAAAAGGAUCGCGGUUCCCGGAGCAAGUGCAACCCAGCCGAGCUGGGAGGCUCUCGGCCACCAAGAGAGCACUUCCGGCACUUCAACAGGCCAGGCCUCGGCCUUCCUCCUUACUGCUUGUCUGCAACCUACUAUUUUGCGAUUCCCAAAGACAUUCCUAGUUUCCCAAAACAGAACCACUUAUUAUUUCAGUCUGCGUUAG
RNAcentral lists this long non-coding RNA (1006 nucleotides) under Sus scrofa (pig). Its description in RNAcentral is "lncRNA (ENSSSCG00005027397.1)". The record is from RNAcentral. Lineage: Eukaryota; Metazoa; Chordata; Mammalia; Artiodactyla; Suidae.